RNAcentral lists this ribosomal RNA (490 nucleotides) under uncultured bacterium. RNAcentral describes it as "partial 16S ribosomal RNA". It matches the Rfam family "Bacterial small subunit ribosomal RNA", at positions 28 to 507 of the family's 1533-position model. The record is from RNAcentral.
GAUGAACGCUAGCGAUAGGCUUAACACAUGCAAGUCGAGGGGCAGCAUGGUCUUAGCUUGCUAAGACUGAUGGCGACCGGCGCACGGGUGCGUAACGCGUAUGCAACUUGCCUCACAGAGGGGGAUAACCCGUCGAAAGACGGACUAAUACCGCGUACACUUGGGAUAGGGCAUCCUGACCCAAGGAAAUGAAAUUCGCUGUGAGAUAGGCAUGCGUCCCAUUAGCUAGUUGGUGAGGUAACGGCUCACCAAGGCGACGAUGGGUAGGGGAACUGAGAGGUUGAACCCCCACACUGGUACUGAGACACGGACCAGACUCAUACGGGAGGCAGCAGUGAGGAAUAUUGGUCAAUGGGCGAGAGCCUGAACCAGCCAAGUCGCGUGAAGGAUGACUGUCUUAUGGAUUGUAAACUUCUUUUAUACGGGAAUAACAAGAGCCACGUGUGGCUCCCUGCAUGUACCGUAUGAAUAAGCAUCGGCUAACUCCGUG